This 776-nucleotide ribosomal RNA is filed under the name uncultured Staphylococcus sp. RNAcentral's name for it is "bacterial SSU rRNA". It matches the Rfam family "Bacterial small subunit ribosomal RNA", at positions 74 to 835 of the family's 1533-position model. Lineage: Bacteria; Bacillati; Bacillota; Bacilli; Caryophanales; Staphylococcaceae. The record is from RNAcentral.
AGAAGCUUGCUUCUCUGAUGUUAGCGGCGGACGGGUGAGUAACACGUGGAUAACCUACCUAUAAGACUGGGAUAACUUCGGGAAACCGGAGCUAAUACCGGAUAAUAUUUUGAACCGCAUGGUUCAAAAGUGAAAGACGGUCUUGCUGUCACUUAUAGAUGGAUCCGCGCUGCAUUAGCUGGUUGGUAAGGUAACGGCUUACCAAGGCAACGAUGCAUAGCCGACCUGAGAGGGUGAUCGGCCACACUGGAACUGAGACACGGUCCAGACUCCUACGGGAGGCAGCAGUAGGGAAUCUUCCGCAAUGGGCGAAAGCCUGACGGAGCAACGCCGCGUGAGUGAUGAAGGUCUUCGGAUCGUAAAACUCUGUUAUUAGGGAAGAACAUAUGUGUAAGUAACUGUGCACAUCUUGACGGUACCUAAUCAGAAAGCCACGGCUAACUACGUGCCAGCAGCCGCGGUAAUACGUAGGUGGCAAGCGUUAUCCGGAAUUAUUGGGCGUAAAGCGCGCGUAGGCGGUUUUUUAAGUCUGAUGUGAAAGCCCACGGCUCAACCGUGGAGGGUCAUUGGAAACUGGAAAACUUGAGUGCAGAAGAGGAAAGUGGAAUUCCAUGUGUAGCGGUGAAAUGCGCAGAGAUAUGGAGGAACACCAGUGGCGAAGGCGACUUUCUGGUCUGUAACUGACGCUGAUGUGCGAAAGCGUGGGGAUCAAACAGGAUUAGAUACCCUGGUAGUCCACGCCGUAAACGAUGAGUGCUAAGUGUUAGGGGGUUUCC